This 347-nucleotide unclassified non-coding RNA is filed under the name soil metagenome. RNAcentral describes it as "partial contains 5.8S ribosomal RNA, internal transcribed spacer 2, and large subunit ribosomal RNA". The stretch from base 1 to 120 matches the Rfam family "5.8S ribosomal RNA", at positions 35 to 154 of the family's 154-position model. The record is from RNAcentral.
GAUGAAGAACGCAGCGAAAUGCGAUACGUAAUGUGAAUUGCAGAAUUCAGUGAAUCAUCGAGUCUUUGAACGCACAUUGCGCCCCCUGGCAUUCCGGGGGGCAUGCCUGUCCGAGCGUCAUUGCUGCCCAUCAAGCCCGGCUUGUGUGUUGGGUCGUCGUCCCCCCCGGGGGACGGGCCCGAAAGGCAGCGGCGGCACCGUGUCCGGUCCUCGAGCGUAUGGGGCUUUGUCACCCGCUCGAUUAGGGCCGGCCGGGCGCCAGCCGACGUCUCCAACCAUUUUCUUCAGGUUGACCUCGGAUCAGGUAGGGAUACCCGCUGAACUUAAGCAUAUCAAUAAGCGGAGGA